UUUUCUAAUCAGUGAAACUAAUCUUCCCGUGAAGAAGCGGGAAUAUCCCCAUAAGACGAGAAGACCCCAUGGAGCUUCAAACCCAAUUACACCCCUAACCCCUAUAACUACUUAACCCUUAGGAUUCUGUAUUAUUGGUUUUAGGUUGGGGCGACCACGGAGUACAACAAAACCUCCACAAUGAACGGAACUACUUCCUCAUCUGAGAGCUACACCUCUAAGAAUUAAAAUAUUAACAUAAAAUGAUCCAUUUUUGAUCAAUGAACCAAGUUACCCUGGGGAUAACAGCGCAAUCCAUUUCAAGAGCCCCUAUCGACAAAUGGGUUUACGACCUCGAUGUUGGAUCAGGGUAUCCUGGUGGUGCAGCAGCUACUAAAGGUUCGUUUGUUCAACGAUCAAAACCCU
This 405-nucleotide ribosomal RNA is filed under the name Mantidactylus katae. RNAcentral's name for it is "partial 16S ribosomal RNA". It matches the Rfam family "Bacterial large subunit ribosomal RNA", at positions 2025 to 2597 of the family's 2925-position model. The record is from RNAcentral. Lineage: Eukaryota; Metazoa; Chordata; Amphibia; Anura; Mantellidae.